Molecule: ribosomal RNA, 381 nt
Filed under: uncultured bacterium
Lineage: Bacteria
Description: bacterial SSU rRNA
Rfam family: Bacterial small subunit ribosomal RNA
Source: RNAcentral
AUUGAACGCUGGCGGCAUGCCUUACACAUGCAAGUCGAACGGCAGCACGGGAGCUUGCUCCUGGUGGCGAGUGGCGAACGGGUGAGUAAUGCAUCGGAACGUGCCCUGAAGUGGGGGAUAACGUAGCGAAAGUUACGCUAAUACCGCAUAUUCUGUGAGCAGGAAAGCAGGGGAUCUUCGGACCUUGCGCUUUUGGAGCGGCCGAUGUCGGAUUAGCUAGUUGGUGGGUAAAGGCCCACCAAGGCGACGAUCCGUAGCGGGUCUGAGAGGAUGAUCCGCCACACUGGAACUGAGACACGGUCCAGACUCCUACGGGAGGCAGCAGUGGGGAAUUUUGGACAAUGGGCGCAAGCCUGAUCCAGCCAUGCCGCGUGAGUGAGG